GGCCCCAUGGUCUAGCGGUUAGGACGUUGGCCUCUCACGCCAUAAGCCCGGGUUCGAUUCCCGGUGGGGUCA
Molecule: transfer RNA, 72 nt
Filed under: Nannocystis sp.
Lineage: Bacteria; Pseudomonadati; Myxococcota; Nannocystales; Nannocystaceae
Also listed under: 1 other name
Description: tRNA-Glu
Rfam family: tRNA
About the family: Transfer RNA (tRNA) molecules are approximately 80 nucleotides in length. Their secondary structure includes four short double-helical elements and three loops (D, anti-codon, and T loops).
Source: RNAcentral